Molecule: long non-coding RNA, 20814 nt
Filed under: Ananas comosus (pineapple)
Lineage: Eukaryota; Viridiplantae; Streptophyta; Magnoliopsida; Poales; Bromeliaceae
Description: long non-coding RNA (ACOM_LNC017502)
Source: RNAcentral
AUUUACCUAGUUAUCGAAAGGAUUCAAAAUCAAUAAUUUUUAAUGGUUGAUAUAUGCCGUUUUCAAGUUUAACGGUGUAGAAGUAUUCAAAUCAGAUGAAAUUUUGAUACAAAAUUCUUUAUACUAUCUACAACAAGAUCAAUAUUUCUGAUCGAAAAUUAUAGUGCUAUAUCACCACUUUUUAUAGGAUUUUUAUUUUCAGCCGUUAAAAAUUAUUGACUUUGAAUCCUUUCGAUUGCUAGGUAAUGAUAUCAAAAAAUGGCAAAAAUUAUUUUCUAGAAACUUCAAAUACGCUAGAUCAAGUCUAACGGAGCCGAUCGUUGAUUCGGAAAUUCCAUCAUCGAAAAUGGCUCAGGAGCACGGAGGCCUCCUUGCUCCUGAGAGCACAGCAGCACUUAUAAAAGCACCAAGCACUUAUUGCUUGUAAAUUUUUUACCUUUAGAUCUACACCUUUGAUCAUUUUUACCCGUUAGUUUGUACUAUUGAACCAACCACCUACUCAACCCUAGGGGGCCCACAUAUAGAGUCCAGCUAUGGUGCUAGUAAAAGCACCAAGCACUUAUUGCUUGUAAAUUUUUUACCUUUAGAUCUACACCUUUGAUCAUUUUUACCCGUUAGUUUAUACUAUUGAACCAACCACCCCCUCAACCCUAGGGGGCCCACAUCAUCCUAACCACACAUCUCUUAAUCUAAGGGCCGAAAACUUACAUGUACCAAUGACUUGGUACUUUUAAAAGCAUAGGAGCUCAAUUCUAUAUAUAUAGAAUUAGGCUACUAUACUAUCUCUAGUACCGGAGCUCCGGUACUAUAGUCUUAUUUUCGAUCUUAGGGUGUUCAAAUUAACGAUCCACACCGUUAAUACCCUAGAUCAGUUUUAACGGUGUGGAUCGUUGAUUUGAACACCCUAAGUUUGAAAACGAAACUAUAGUACCGGAGCCCCGGUACUAUAGAUAAUAUAGGAGACUAGUUCUCUCUCUCUCUAUAUAUAUAUAUAUAUAUAGGCUAAGACUAUUAUAUUCUUAAGAGUAUAAAUUUUUUUACACUCAUAAAUUUUUGAUCGUUGGAUGACGAGAUAAGGUGGUUAGGAUGAUAAUGGUCUUCUAGGAUUGAGUGGAUGGUUGGUUGACUUGUAUGAUCUGAUUGAGUGGGUGGUUUUCUUGACUAGUAUGAUCUAAUUGAUGGAAAUAGUCNAUAUAUAUAUAUAUAUAUAUAUAUAUAUAUAUAGAGAGAGAGAGAGAGAGAGAGAGAGAGUUGAGUUGCAAUGCUAUCAGUAGCAAAAGAGCUUCGUUGUCACUAAUUUAUUUUCGAUGAUGGAGCCUCUAAAUCGACGAUUGGCAUCGUUGAACAUAAUCUAUACCGCGUUAAGUAUCUAGAAAUCAAUUUUCAAAUAUUUUCGACAUCAUUGGCCUAAUGAUCAAAUGUUUUCAAAAUUUGUAAUUUUUACGGUCGAUAUAAAAUAUUUUCUCGUUUAACGAUGUAAAGAUAUACCGAACGUCCCUAGAGCAAGUGGCAAAAGGCUUUGUGGUUAUUACCCGAGACCCAGGUUAGAAUCCUAGUUGAUUCAUAUUUCCAGCUAAGUUUAUUUCUAAAUGAAAUAAAUAAAGCGGGUAGCGUGCCACCUAUCUCUCAAAAAAAAAAUUUGAUGUAAAGAUAUUCAAAUUAAUUGAAUUUUGACUAGAAAAUUUUUUAAACUAUUUAGAAAACGAUCUAGUUGAAUUUUUAUACUUAAUUAAGCUUGACUUUUUAUUAAAUUGAAUGGCUUUAUUAAUUGUAAAUUGUUAAUUGUUUUAGUUUUUACUUGGUAAAUUUUGUUACAAUUAUCAAUAAAUCUAAUAAAAAUUUAAAAAACUUUAAAAGUACUUGAGAAAGCUUGGAAAAAAGAAAAAGAAAAAUAGUUGGGGACAUGAAUUUUUACCUCCUCAUCAAUAUGUGACCUACCCUAUGCUACCCUAACCCAUAGCUCAUAAAAAUGAUGUGACGUUUUGACCAGUACCACAUGUGCACUCAUGGAGAUCUGAAAAUUAAACCACCUAGGGAUCUGGUAUUUGUAAUAAAACAAAAAUUUACAAAGAACCAUACAUCUAUGCACCACUUAUACAAUUUUAAAGAAAUUAUUUUAUAGAUCUUUGUGCUUGGCAUUAUUUUUGAAUUAUUUUUUACUCGAUAAAUCUAGGUACUGAGUUCAAUUUUUGCUUUACGAUUUAAAGUUAUAAACUCCGACCUCUUCACCACUCAUGUUCUUUUUUAUUCAUAAUAACUAUUAUCGAAGAAAAAUUCAAAAUCUAAAUGAUAAUAAAAGAUAUAUAAAUGUUACAACGAGCACACAAACAAAAAUGAAAACAGCUAUUGUAAAAUAAACAAACCAUAAAGUAGUAAGGAAAGAUAGAACAUAAAAAUUUACGCGAAAAAAAAAUUUCAAAGAAAAAUCACGAGCGAAAGAGAGAACUUCACUAUAUGAAAAAAAAAAAGAAGGUAUAAUCUUGUGGAGAAAUAUAAUAUGCGAUAUAUUGUCUAGGGCAAAGAAAAAGAAAACUGAAAUGUAAUGGAAAGACCUCCACAUCUGACCCGUUUGUUUCUUAAUGGGUUCUUUCAAAAUUUGAUCAGAUUUUUCUUUUUCACCACAUAUAAUUUUUUUUUUUUAAUUUAUCACACCGCAAAGCUUUCGGCAAAUAGGGGCACAAAAUCAAACUCGAUAACUAAACUUUGAUACAAAUCUAAUAAUAAUUUAGCAUGUUACCCUUUUAUUUACCCUAGAAAGGCCUAGAUUCCAUUAUACAAAAAGAAUCACAAUUUGUCUCCCAGGAAAGCGUGCUCACAAAAACCUAGCAAUGCAUGGCUGGCAAACACUUAGUUUGUCUUACUAAUCACUUAUUUAAUCAUGCAUUAAAUCUAAAGUUAAUCUUAUUCCUUUCCUUAAACCGAGGAGUCAAUUUGUCCUUGUGUAUAAAUUUAUAUGUUUCAAUUGCUUCCAUUUGGAUUAAACAAAGAUAUAUAUAACAUCUAAAACCAAGGGCUAGGAAGGUACUUCUUAAUUACUUUCCCCUUGUUUGAGGAAAUUAACCACCAUGAGAGGGACCUUUUUUGGCACAUUGUAGUUACUUUUUUUUCAAAUGUGAUUAAGUGAUCAAUUGCCCCAGGGAUUCUUAAAUUUUUUGCGCGGUUUCAAUUUAGUCCUCAACCUUAUACAUUGCAAUCUUGUUCUUUUUAUUAGAUUUGUCCAAUAAAUUUGGCAGAAAUAAACGCGUAUGUGCUAAGUUACGUUUACAUAAGAGACGGUUGAACUUCUCAUUAGCNAGAGAGAGAGAGAGAGAGAGAGAGAGAGAGAGAGAGAGUUGAGUUGCAAUGCUAUCAGUAGCAAAAGAGCUUCGUUGUCACUAAUUUGUUUUCGAUGAUGGAGUCUCUAAAUCGACGAUUGGCACCGUUGAACAUAAUCUAUACCACGUUAAGUAUCUAGAAAUCAAAUUUCAAAUAUUUUCGACAUCAUUGGCCUAAUGAUCAAAUGUUUUCAAAAUUUGUAAUUUUUACGGUCGAUAUAAAAUAUUUUCUCGUUUAACGAUGUAAAGAUAUACUGAACGUCCCUAGAGCAAGUGGCAAAAGGCUUGGUGGUUAGUACCCGAGACCCAGGUUAGAAUCCUAGUUGAUUCACAUUUCCAGCUAAGUUUAUUUUUAAAUGAAAUAAAUAAAGCGGGUACAGUGCCACCUAUCUCUCAAAAAAAAAAUGAUGUAAAGAUAUUCAAAUCAAUUGAAUUUUGACUAGAAAAUUUUUUAAACUAUUCAGAAAAAGAUCUAGUUGAAUUUUUAUACUUAAUUAAGCUUGACUUUUUAUUAAAUUGAAUGGCUUUAUUAAUUGUAAAUUGUUAAUUGUUUUAGUUUUUACUUGGUAAAUUUUGUUACAAUUAUCAAUAAAUCUAAUAAAAAUUUAAAAAACUUUAAAAGUACUUGAGAAAGCUUGGAAAAAAGAAAAAGAAAAAUUGUUGGGGACAUGAAUUUUUACCUCCUCAUCAAUAUGUGACUACCCUAUGCUACCCUAACCCAUAGCUCAUGAGGAUGAUGUGACGUUUUGACCAGUACCACAUGUGCACUCAUGGAGAUCUGAAAAUUAAACCACCUAGGGAUCUGGUAUUUGUAAUAAAACAAAAAUUUACAAAGAACUAUACAUCUAUGCACCACUUAUACAAUUUUAAAGAAAUUAUUUUAUAGAUCUUUGUGCUUGGCAUUAUUUUUGAAUUAUUUUUUACUCGAUAAAUCUAGGUACUGAGUUCAAUUUUUGCUUUACGAUUUAAUGUUAUAAACUCCUACCUCUUCACCACUCAUGGUCUUUUUCAUUCAUAAUAAGUAUUAUUGAAAAAAAUUCAAAAUCUAAAUGCUAAUAAAAGAUAUACAGCUGAGAUAAAUGUUACGACGAGCGCACAAACAAAAAUGAAAACAACGAUUAUAAAAUAAACAAACCACAAAGUAGUAAGGAAAGAUAGAACAUAAAGAUUUACGUGAAAAAUUUUUUGCGAAGAAAAACCUCGAGCGAAGAGAGAAUUUCACUAUAUGAAAAGAAAGGUAUAAUCUUGUGGAGAAAUACAAUAUGUGAUAUAUUGUCUAGGGCAAAGAAAAAGAAAAUUGAAAUAUAAUGGAAAGACUUCCACAUCUGACCCAUUUGUUUCUUAAUGGAUUUUUUCAAAAUCUGAUCAGAUUUUGAAUUUCCACCAUAUAUAAUCUUUUUUAAAAAAUUUGUGACACCGCAAAACUUUCGACAAAUAGAGACACAAAAUCGAACUAAAAAACUAAACUUUGAGACAAAUCUAAUAAUAAUUUAGCAUGUUACCCUUUUAUUUACCCUAGAAAGGCCUAGAUUCCAUUAUACAAAAAGAAUCACAAUUUGUCUCCCAGGAAAGCGUGCUCACAAAAACCUAGCAAUGCAUGGCUGGCAAACACUUAGUUUGUCUUACUAAUCACUUAUUUAAUCAUGCAUUAAAUCUAAAGUUAAUGUUAUUCCUUUCCUUAAACCGAGGAGUCAAUUUGUCCUUGUGUAUAAAUUUAUAUGUUUCAAUUGCUUCCAUUUGGAUUAAACAAAGAUAUAUAUAACAUCUAAAACCAAGGGCUAGGAAGGUACUUCUUAAUUACUUUCCCCUUGUUUGAGGAAAUUAACCACCAUGAGAGGGACCUUUUUUGGCACAUUGUAGUUACUUUUUUUUCAAAUGUGAUUAAGUGAUCAAUUGCCCCCGGGAUUCUUAAAUUUUUUGCACGGUUUCAAUUUAGUCCUCAACCUUAUACAUUGCAAUCUUGUUCUUUUUAUUAGAUUUGUCCAAUAAAUUUGGCAGAAAUAAACGCGUAUGUGCUAAGUUACUUUUACAUAAGAGACGGUUGAACUUCUCAUUAGCGUGAUUUGUGAAUGGUUUUGUUUAGAUGCAUGUGCGGAAUUGUCACUUGAUAGUUAUGUCAUAUGUGGCACAAAUAGUGAUAUUUCCUUGCAACUUAAUAGCAACUUUAAGAUUAUUGAACAAUAUUUUAAUUAGAGACUCAAAUGAGAGAACACCUUUGCAAAUUACUUAAUCCAUUUAUCAUGUAUUUGUGAUAAUUAAGAGAAAUGUAAUUUUAGUGAGAGUAAAAACUAUAUGUGCACACUUGUGUGGAGGUGAUAUUUCAAUUGCAAAGGAGACAAACCUUUAACUCUUCAAGUAGUUUAUUGACUUUUCUUCUUGCCCUUUGACCAUGAUGAAUAGUUCCUUUAUUUGUUUCUUGUUUAAACACUAUUUUGAGAACCUUUUGUUCCAACACUUUCACGCACAUCCACGAAAACAGUAUCAUGUGUCUCCGUAUACUUUAAAAUGCAUGAGAAAUACAAAUAUAUAUGUUAUACUCAAAGAGAGAGAGAAAUAUGAGGUGCUAAUUCCUCACUACUUUAAGAGCAGCCAUUUUGAAAAGUUUCAAUUCGUAAUCAUCUUGAUAACCAAGAGCUAGCAUGUUGUUAGGCAUGUGGAAAAGAUCUAGUUCGUGGACGUGAAAAUAUCAAAAAGAAUUGAGAAAGAUAAAAGAAAAAUAAAACACACAAAUAUUUACUUGGUUCGAUUACUAGUCAACAUUCGCAGGAGAAGACAGAGUGAAGAUUUUUAUUUUAAUCAAACUGAAGUACACAUUAUAUAUCUCUCACAAAAUUCUAAUCCUAAAAAUACAACCAUACUUUUCAUCUACCAAACUGAAUCAAUUCAUAAUCAUAUUGACAUGUACAUUGUAUGAUUAGUAAUCAUCUCGAAAUAUCAUCUUGUUAAUUAACCAAGAGCAUGCAUGUACAUGUAACUUGUGUACUACAAUUUGCGCUCGACAUUUGUAUGAUUAGUAGCCAAAACAAGAACGUGAAUAUAUGGAUUUUUUUAUGGCGUUCGCCGCAUCACACACAAAAUCAAAUGGCUAUUCAUAUCAAAGAAAGAAGACCACAUGCAUCAAUAUCCCUGAACAACAAGAAUUUGCUAGUAAAUUUUCUAUUUCUUGUUGUAAUUUGUACAUGUUUUAAAUUCAUUAUUUCUUGUCUCAUGCUCCUCGCAGCGUGCGCACAUAUAUAUAUUGCCCUAAAGUACUCUUGUUUAAUUAUACAUAUAUAUAUAUAUUAAUUCCUAAUACAACUUCUCAACAGAGACCAUGCACGAAGUAUCUGAUCCAGUUGACAAUUAACUAUUUUGCUCACAACACUUGUCCAGCAAUUUUAACUUGUAUAUGUUAAUUAGCUAAAUUCAAAACAAAUGUUACACAGAUUCCUUAUGCACAUUAAUUUUUCCUCCAAGCAUUGCUCAUAGUUACUCUUGUUUAUUUGUUUGUUAACUUUAAAAUGAAUUUUCACAUAUUCCUUAUAUUAUAUGGUGUAUUAAACUCUUGGUCCAAAAACUAAAGUUAUUGUCCACCAAUUAAUUUCAGCUUGUAUAUAUAUUUAUUAAACUCCAACAUAGUUUGCCUCCAACAUAUUAUAUAAGUUCUGUUCACAACUUUUCCUAUGGAUUGAUUAAUUUGAGGACUAAAACGUUUAACAAGAUCAAAGUUAAUUAAAUUUAAUUUAAGUGGUCCAAGUGAUUUGAUUCUUUCUGCUUUAAUUUUUUUUAAUCUCUUUAGAAGAAUUGUCGGGUUUUUCAUAUGCAUCAAUUACUACCUUAGGGGUGUUUGUUAGACAACUUGUCCUCUAGUAAUCACUAUUUGAGACAAAUUGUCUCUACCUUCAGAAAAUAAAACGUAAAAAAAAAAAAGAAAUUACCCGCAAAUUAAUAUAGGUUGCUCAAACAAGUUGUCCCUUGGUUUUUUAUUGAUAGCAGUUUGUGUGAAUUACUUAAGUAAGAAUUAGGUAUUAAAUUAAUUAUAUACAUUAUUGAACUUUUGCACUAUAAAUUGUUGUUCUUGCCUCUGAAUUUUAUGAGUUUNUAUAUAUAUAUAUGAGUUUGGUUACUAUACUAUCGAUAAUAUCAAGCCUUGGUACUAUUGAGUUUUCUACCGUUAGAUCUACACUUUGAUUAUUUUCACCCGUUAGAUUAUACUAUUAAACCAACCACCCACUCAACCCUAGGGGACCACUAUUAUCCUAACCACACAUCCUUUCAUCCAACAGCCGAAAACUCAAUAGUACCAAAAGCUUGAUACUAUCAAUAGUAUAGUAGCAUAAUUCUAUAUAUAUAUAUCUAUAUAAUACGAACGUUGCAAAUACAACUUAUGUACUGAUUAACCACUGCAUCUUCUAUAUAAAUAUCUUCCGUGCUUAUUUUAUAUAUAUAUAUAUAUAUAUAUAUAUAGAAUUAGGCUGGAAUUCUAUUAAUAGUAAAACGCUCUUUUUGCUAUCAAGUUUUUAACCCUUGGAUGAAAAAUUGUAGGAUCGGGAUGAUAUUAGUCGUUUAGAGUUGAGUGGUCCCCUUAGGGUUGAGUGGUCCCUACUGGGUUAUAGUAUUUAAUCUAAUGGUUAGAAAUAAUGAAAAGAGUUGAUCCAAAGGCUAAAAAACUGGUAACAACGAUGGGAUUUUGCUACUAAUAUUAAGUUGUUUCUGUAUAACUAUAUAUAAUAAUACAUGCUAUAUUUAUUUACUUACCGAGAUAUAUAUAUAUAUAUUGUGUCUUCUUGUAAAGACGCCAUAUCAGACACCAGAUAUACAACCGCAACACAAUCUAAUGUGACAACAUGCCAUGGGGACUCACUACAACAGAAUUAGGUUAUAGGGACACAUGUUUGGGACAUUUUUGAGUAAGUGUCCCAUUUAUGCUAAAACUUAAAAAAAUAUCUGCUAAUGCCUAAAUAUAAAGCCCAAUCCAACCAAAAAUAAAAGAUUACUCUACUCAACCCACCACACCCAGUUCAUUUGGCCCGAUUACAAACAGAAAAGAAAAAAAAAAAGAAAAAUCAAUUACCAUCUUUUCUUCUCUCUUCACUCAAUCCACUGAAAUUCUAGACGAAGAGCCUUUCCUGUCGUCCUCCUCCGCCACCGCAGCCAACGAGAUAAAAUUUCGGCGGUUGCUAAAUGCUUAAAUAAGUGUUCGUAAAUUAGCAGCACUCUUUUAGGUUAUAGCGACACUCUUUAACUGUCAAUAUAUACCUAGCGACCCCACAUAUAGUAACACUUUUUAAAAGUGUCGGUAAUUUUAGCUAGCAGCACUUUUUUGACAUGUACCUAUAUUUAAAAGUAUCGCUAUAGACCGUUUUUGUUGUAGUGACUUUUGAGAGAAGUCCCAACUCAACACGGCAUUAGCUAGUCUUACCUAUAAAUGCAAAAAACUAACAUGAUAGAUAUAUGGCGCAGUAAAGAAAAAGGUUAAAAUAUUUUGAACAUAAGUAUACCAAGUUGGAGACACUUAGACACAAACCUGUUAAUUAAUUGAGAAAAAUAACAUGACUGUCGAAGAUGAAUGCUGCAAAUAUGUUUGUUUUUGCACCAAGUAAUCACUCAAUUGAUCUGCCAAUGAUUAGAAAUUAUGAACUCACAAAUGACUUCUUAUAAGAGCUCCUUUAUUCAUGUGAAAACUUUUGAAUACUACAAGGUAUAUAAUCAAACACUAAUCUUACAAUUAAUGACAAGAAAUGUUCAACAAACAAUUAAUUAAAUUCAAUGAAUAUAUCAUUGCUUUUACAAGUUAUAAAUCAUUUCCUGUUAUUACUAUCUUAAGUUGUCAUAUCUAAUUAAUGGAUCUACUGCUUCUGAGUUUGAUGAAGUUGUAAUUUAUGUCUGAUGGUUAAAACCGCAUCUGCACGUGAGUUAAACAGCGGGAAUUAAAAAAAAAAUUUAGCGGUUUGCUUUUAGCAUCUUUAGCUAUUGUUAUUAUUGUUUGUAUUCGAGUAAAAGCAACAAUUUGCGCGCUUUAUCUUCAUGAUCUAUGUUCAAGUGCACUAAACAAGUACAAAAUAUUCUAUCAGCGACAAGCUAUUAUUUAGUUACUCCAAAAAAAAAAGCUCAAAACCACUAAUAUAAUACUAAUUAAGCCUGGUAACACCAACCGUCCCUAGUGCAAGUGGCAAAAAGCUUGGUUGUUGGUACCCGAGGUCCCAAGUUCGAAUUCUAGUUGAUUCACAUUUCUAGUUAAGCUUAUUUCUAAUGAAAUAAACGAAGCGGAUAACAUGUUACCUAUCUCUUAAAAAAAAAAAAAAUUAAGCCUGCUAACACUUAGCUUGAGAAUCAAUUUCUCAGACCAAAUGUUAAUCAAAUCUCCACUUGCUUUUAGCGCUUCGAGCUACAAAAAGGCAAAAAGUUCAAAAGAGAAUAUUCAUGUUUUAAUCAAUUGACUAAUUAUAACAAAACAGAUCCUUUACUAUUGAUGAUAUGUGCUAUAUAUAGCCAUAUCUUGCAUGAUGCAUCAAUCAUUCAAAACAUAUAGUUUAUGUUAAACAACUGUUGUAUUCUAACAACUUAAGCUUUUAGAGUAUGUCAGUUAUUUAACAAAAUAUCAGAACAAGAGAUCCUAAGUCCGAAUCACGCCAGACUCCUAAAUUACUAAUUUUUCCCAUUUAAUUCAAAUCCACGUCAUGAACCUUGUAAAAAGUCUCGAGCCCAUACAUGAGGAGGAGAGUGUUAAAUAUAAAAAUAUAUAAAUACUGUUCUCUAACGGCUUUAGCUUUUAGAGUACGGUGGUUGCUUGACAGUUUAUGAGCUUUAUCUGAAAAGAAGUUGUAGAUUGCUUUAUAAUGAUAGUCUAUGCAAGAAGUAUUGAUUGCCUUCAUUCUAAUUGAGGAUUAGCUAGGGCAAAGUGAUGAAACAUGAAACAGGUCAUUAGGUUGCGUUAUUUGGAAAAGAUCAUAUACUAGAAAAACGUCGCCUUUCGAUACAUUCUUGUUACCAUUUAGAAAGUAGGAAACUUAAUUACAGUACAGCAACAAUUCGCUUCCUCUUUAUACUUUUGUAUCUUGUGGAGUUGCAUUACCAUUUAGAGACUGUUUGAAUUUAAAGUUUGUUUGGUUAGUGAUCAUGUAAUUUGAUUUAUUCAAAUUUUUCAGAAACAAAGUAUGCAGAUGCAUACGUUGCUAAAUUUGUUUGAUUUGAUCAAAAGCAGUCGAUUGAUCUUACUUAUUCAUUUCAUUUAUGCACAAUAGAUCCAAAGAGAAAAUUUGAAAUUAUAACAGAAACUGAAAAAUGCAAGUAAAGAAGAAUGUUUCAUCUAAAAUUUUGUAGUACUAAUCCCUCUCGGAGUUUCUUUCUCACCAUACGAAUGGUACUGAUAUCGCAUCCUUAGAGUAAGAAAAGGAGAAAAACUAUGACUAGUAUGUGUACAAAUAGAGUGGUUCAACUACAAACACCACCAUGUUGGCAGGGAAAAAAAAAAAAGAAAAGAACAAGAACAAGAACAAGAAAAAGAAAAUGGUGCUUGAUUAUGGUCAAUCGUGCCAACAAAGAAGCAUCACGACGCAGCGUCGUAUAAUGUAUAGUUUGGCUCUUUGCUCCCUUAGAGCUCUGCUGAGCCCUCCUUUUUGCUUCUCCUGGCUAUGUAGCUUCAUUGUCAUGGCGUAAUUAGCUUGAAUAGUUGUAAAGUGGAGAGGAGAAAAUAGUGUGUUGAGAAACAAUAAGUGAGAGAGAGAGAAGUAGAGGGUACUCUUUGCUAGCAAUUGUAGUUGGAUUGAAUAGUUUGAGGGGAUUCACAUAUGGAUUUUAUAGAGAGAUCAGAGAAAAUGGGGGGAAAUUAAGGGAGUGGUCCAACACCUAGAGGGCUUGUUAAUUAAGAGGUGCUUUCACACAAGUGUAGUAUCUUGAUUGUUACUUAGGAGACAAGGCUCUGAAUUCAUGUAUAUUGUUUUAUCUUUCUUGCUUCUUUUGCCUAUAAUUGUUUUGUUUUCUUUAAGCUAUAGAAAUUGUGGCCUUAAGCAAGCAUCAAAUUCAGGUAUAUUUGUCUCUCCUGCCUCUUUCACUGUACUGAGAAGUACUUCCUCGCCGAUCGAUUGCUUGAAGAAAACAAUGUUGAUAAAAUAUUACUUGUCGGAUCGUUAGCGCUAAUCAUUAAUCCCAAAAGCUCGAGCUGUAGAAAUACGUAACCAAUUCACUUAAAACGUACAGAUACAGCGCCCACAGGUCUCGAUUAUGACUGGGUCCAACCAGCCUCAUGCCACUUCGAACAUGACUCAACUCACCCUCACGCUAUUUCGAACAUAACUCAGCCCAACAUAGCCUUUCGCCAUAAAGCAAAAUGCUAACUCAUUUAAGCCAGCAAUCCCCUCUCUAGCAUCUGCACACAUUUGCAGUAUUGGGGAAUCGAACUCGCGAUUUCUGGCUCUGAUACCACUUGUCGAAUCGUUAGCGCUAACCAUUAAUUCCAAAAGCACGUGCCGUUAGAAAUAUAAAACCAAUUCACUUAAAACAUACAGAUACAGCGCUCACGAGUCUCGAUUGUGACUCGACCUAACAGGCCUCACGUCACUUCGAACAUGACUCGGCCCAACAUGACCUUCCGCCACAGGACAAGAUGCUGACUUAUUUAAGCCAACAUUAGGUACGUACGCACGCAUUUUCUUUUUUCUCUCAGUUGGCACAUGCAACCUAUCCUAUCAUGGCGCUCGCAACGAGAGCUUUACUAGAGCAAGUGACAGGUUUUGUUUGCCUAUCGAGGCAGUCGCACUCAUCGUCACAUAAAAAAGAAAAUCGACUGGCCUCUUGUGUGAAUGAAAAGCUAAAUUCGACUAUAUUAUGUCGAGAUCCGAGCGUGCACUAGAAUAUUUUUGCGAGCUAACUGUUCUUGAUCACUGAUCAGUCUCUUGUAUCUGUCCUUCGACUGCACGGAAAAUGCUUUUUUUUGUUCCCCUCCUAAUAUUCAAUAACAAGUUGCAUGGAGCAUGUCUCCUGAUCAGAGUAUAUAUACUUGUUUAUUAAUUCCUAGAAUGGCUUUUCAUAUAUAUACUGUUGUAGUACAUGGCUUGACAAUUCUUUACUCACAAAUCCAUGCCAUUUGUAGCAUUAAUUUUUUAAUUAAAUCCCUACUUUCUUUGCCUCCUUUCACAUUCAAUUCUCUUCACCACCUUCCUGUGGACACAAAGUUUCUAUGCCUAGGAUGCUUAAAACAAUCAUGAUUUUCAUUUGUACCUAAUUUUGUUAGUUUCUUUACUUGCCCUCUCCUUCAUGGUCUCUGUUUGUUCAGUUCUUGUCAUGUUGAAAUAACAAUGACAUGCAAAUACCAAAAUAAAGGAAUAUUUUAUGUAAUUUUAAGCAAAUGCUGUCGCUGUUCGACACAAAUUUUUGCUGCAUUUGAAACAGUUGGCAAGCUAUAUAGUGUUCAAUGCUGCAGCAUUUUUUUUUCUCAUUUCUUGCUUAAAAAUAUCCUAAUAAAAGAACAUUAGAUAGAUAUAAAAUAUUGAAGUACAUCUCCUAAGUUUUUGAAAUUACGGAAGCCUCCGUACUUAUAAGUUAUUUUUUAUGAUGGGAUAUCUAAUUCGAUGAUCAACUCUAUUGUGAAUGAUCUAUACUAUUAGAACUAUUUAGAAAUUAAAUUUCAUAAUUUUUCGACAUCAUUUAGCAAGUAAUCAAUAAGUCUAAAAAAUGACUAUUUUAAUGGCCGAUGUGGCACGUUUGUAAGUUCAACGAUAUAGAACAAUUCAAAUUACAUAAAACUUUGGCUAAAUUACAUAAAAACCCAGUCAAAACCUGAUUUUUCACUUUUCCCCCCUGUCAUUUAAAAACCUACACUUUGUCCCCUUAUAAAAUGAAAAAUGUUCACGGGGUUGUACGAUGUGAACAGUGAUGACAAAAUGACCAUUUUGCCCCUCACCAUUUUCGUCUCCUCCCUCAUCUUGCUCAUCCGCCGCCUCGAUCGGCCGCAGUUCGCGCCUCAAUCGACCGCAGUGCCUUUCCAUUUUCUUCUUCACCUACUUCCCUUCUCCUCCUACACCUUCGUCGCCCCUCCAUUUCAGCGACAGUAGGGAGGAAAUCGAGGUGGGCGUGGAGGGAGAGGUGGGCAAGGGCAACGAGGGCGAAGGCGAGGCGGUGGAGGAGAGCGAGGGGGUGUUUGUGGGUGCGGACGGAGAUGUAGGCGAGGGCGAGACAGUGGAGGAGGGCGAGGCGGCAAGGCGGAGGAGGGUUAAGCAUCAGUAGAGAGGGUGGAGGGUAUUUUUGACAUAAAAAAAUAUUUUAUAACGGAACCCUAACGGAUCACUAACGGUAGGGGAUAAAGUGAAUUUUUUUCAUUUUACAGGGGGGCAAAGUGUAGGUUUUUAAAUGACAGGAGAAAAAACUGAAAAAUUAAAUUUUUACAGGGGGGUUUUCUGUAAUUUAGCCUAAAACUUUAAUAGAAAAUUUUACUUAAUAUUAAGAGUAAAAUCAAUAAUUCCGGUUUGAAAUUUAAAUUUUUUAUUACUAUUUUUUGUAAGAUUUUUAUUUUCAGCCGUUUAUUUUGAGACUACAAGCUUACUAUGCAAACAAAGCUAAAAAAUUGUGAAAUUUGGAUUCUAAAUAGUUCUAAUAAUAUGGAUUAUGCCUAAUAGAGCCAAUCGUUGAAUCAGAUGUCCUAUUAUCAAAAACAACUUAUAAGUAUGGAGACCUCCGUACUUUCGAAAGUACAGGAGUCUAGCUCUAAACUAUUGUUACUCUUAUCAAUCUGGGACUCCUCUAUAUACUAUUCCCGUUAUGCUUCUAAUUUCAAUCAUAUAAAUAUAUAUAAAAAGUUAGGCUGGUAUAUUAUCGAUAACACAGAGGCCUUUAUACUACCAAAUUAUUUUCAAUGAUGUAGCUUCCAACUCGAUGAUCGACUCCAUUAGACUUGAUCUAUAUUAUUGAAAGUAUUUGGAAACAAAAUUUCAUAAUUUUCGAUAUCAUUUACCUAUCAAACGAGUAGUCUAAAAAUGAAAAGCUGAAAAUAAAAAUCUCAUAAAAAAUGAUGAUAAAAGACUUGAAUUUAAGAUCAGGGGUACUGAUCUUACUCUAAAUAGUGAAAGAAUUUUCUAUAAAAAUUUUAUCAGAUUUGAAUUAUUUUACACCGUUAAAUUCACAAACGCAUCACAUAUACCAUUAAAAUUGUCAAUUUUGAGACCUUUUGAUCACUAGUCAAAUGAUGUCGAAAAAUUAUGAAAUUUAAUUUUCAAAUACUUUUAAUAGUGUAAAUACAAGUCUAAGGGAGUCGAUCGUCGAUUUGGAAGCCGCAUCAUUAAAAACAACUUAGCAGUACGGAGGCCUCCGUGCUACCAAUAGUAUACCAGCCUAGCUCUAUAUAUAUAUUUAUAUAUAUAUAUAUAUAUAGAGAGAGAGAGAGAGAGAGAGAUCUAGAGAGAGAGAGAGAGGGAAAGAGAGAGGAUUGCUAUGCUCUUAGGAGCAUGGAGGUCUCAGUGCUUCUGAGCUGUUUUCGAUGAUAGAAUCUUGGAAUCGACAAACGGCUCCGUUAGACUUGAUCUAGCAUAUUUCGGAGUAAGGAUAUCUGAAAUUCCACAGUAUGAGAUACUUACUUUGCCCAUUAUACGAUGGCAAAAGAAUCUUUUUUUUCUUUUUCUUCAACGUAUACUUUAUAGAACAAGCAUCCGUGUGAAGGGUGAUUUUCGCCCUAAGUUAGAACCCAGUGUUAUGACUCUCGCUCAUCAUACAUAAUUAAUAGAAUCUUUCAAUAAUUAGCAGUACUCUGGGUUACUCUGGGUUUGGGAUUUAAGUUUAAAUCUUUGGUGACUAAAAUCAACAUUUGUUGAAUUAAAGAUCCCAAUUAAAGUGGUUAUGGAAAGUUUUCAACUUUUAUAGUAUUUAUGAGAAUGUUUUAGUCAUUAUAGUACGAAUGGAUAGAUUUAUAUAUGUAAGAAAGUUUAAAUGGGAAUAAACAUUUGAGGCAAUUUGUAACAUUAACAAAGUAACCUAAUUUUUAAUUUAAUGGCUGAGAUGGGAACUGGGAAUUUUCCACAACUUCCUAUAUCACUCUUUUAUAUAUAAGUUGGGGGAGUUUUGAUAUCCGACAAAACUUCUUCUAGUUGUUAGUUAUCUACUUUAUAACCUCUUUUUUUUUCUUUCUUUUAUAUAAGACUUAAAUAAUUACACUGAUCUUUGAUUUUUCGUAACACCCCUAGAUUCUUUUCGAUUCUUCUAAAAGCCUCCGGUUUUCAUAUUCGAAACGAAGUCGAAGAAGUAGAAACCGCAGACGACGUUGUUUUUAGAUAUAAUCUUCUACAACUACUUCGUUGACUAUGGACUAUUCGUAGAGAUAGGUUUUUCAUGAAAGAGUGUCUGUUCGGUUAGUUCUUAUUAAUAUAUAAAUUAUUACUUUCUAAAUACUUACGGACUACGUACCAUCCUACUAAUUAAGGGAGGUUAAUUGUUACUUAAUAAUAGUAACAUUUUAGUAAAGAAUUAAAUCCUUUCUUUAUAACAUCGAUUUUUCAACCACCACAGUGCAACGUACCGUAACAUGGUAUCUAAGAGGUGACGGAUUUUGCACUGUUUGAUAUACGUACGAAAAAAAAAAAAAGAUUAAUUUCAUUAAGUAAUUACACAGUAGUGUGUACGCGGAUUAAUAUUGGAGUUUUAUUAGGAGAGAAACUGUUAGUAAAAAAAAAUUAAUCAAUAUAGGUAAACGUAAUUAGUCGACAAACUAAUAGAUGUAACAUUCGAUAUUAUAUCCAUGUUAACAUGUGUUCGAGCUUUUUCAGAUAAAUUAAUGGAUAUCACAUCCUGAAUCUAUGUUAUUAACCUAAAUAUAUCUAUUUCCGAACUAACAACGUAAAGCAGGAUAUAGCUUUAAUCUACAUUUAGUAUUAAAUCGUCGACCUCUCUCAUUGAGAUGAGCUAUUUAUUAAUUAAUGAAUAGAAAGCGGAGUAGUCCUUUUCUUUUCUCUUUUCAAACGAAGAAACUCCAAUUAGAGUGGUAGAGCAUAAAUUUUAUCUUUCUACAUGCUUAUAACGAAAGUUAACGUUCAUUGGUUUUGAAUUUUAGGCAUCAGCGUUGUAAGAGUUAAUUUAUCAUGGCACGCUCAAUUUACGUUUACAAUAUUGAUGUAGGCUGGUUUGUUUUGUGGUCAAAAUAAAUUCUCGAAAAAACCUACGAACUUGUACGCCAAAUCAUAGUACACCGAAUUGGCUGGCAGGGAUCUCGUUCACCGUUUUCCAAACCACCAACCAUGGGCUCUGGAUUCAAGCUUAGGAUCAACUAAGUGUAAAGGUCGAUUUAAAUAAAGAUUUACUUUAUUUGCUUCGCCCAUCGCAUGCACGAUGAAUAGAGAGAGAGUUUUUUUUUCAUAGUACACCGAAUCAAAUGAGUUCCUAGUACGUUGUUAACUGUCUACUUAUCAUAUGAAUCUAUAUACAACGAAGAUUUAAUAAUAAGACUUUUUUCUUUUUGAUUAGUAUUCACGGAAAUCUCUGAAACUAGGUUCAAGAUCAUAAGUUUGUAAGUUUAUCAAAGAUUUUCUUUGACUAGAUAUUUCACACCUCUCACUAACCAGAAUAUGGUUUCUUAAGAAUUUAAUUUUCACAAUGCUGCUCACGUGUUUGUUUUUGCUUUCUGCCGUUUGCACUUUAUUUGUUUCAUGUUCGUCUUUUAUUUUAUUUGUGUUUCUAAAUGCACUUUUUAAGAAAAGUCCUUUUUUUAAUACCUACUUUCUCCUCUCUUAAAAUGAUACUUUUUUUUUCAUAUUACAAUACUUCUAAUGUUAUGCGAUGUAGUCUGGUUCCAGAGGCGAUGGGUGGUGUCUGUAGAUAAAAAGAAGGUGUUAAGUAAAGGGUUUUUAAGAUAGCGUGAUGCUUUAACAGUUAUUUAGUACCCGGGUUUUAGUUUCAACUAUUAGUUUAAAGCUCCGUGGAGAUUAAACGUUGGUGAAUGAGUUAAUCACUCCGACCAUACUAAGGCCUUCGUGUUUUGGGAGGUAUGAAGAUUCACGUACCAAAAGCUACAACUCUAAAAGCUUAGUUGUUAAACGAGACAAUCUGAACUAGUUCACAUAAACUUAAUGGACUUUUUAUUUAAAACACUAAAAAGCUAUAGUAAACGGAUUACUAGCUUCCCCGAGUUUUAAUUAUUAAAAUUACCGGCACCACUCGGCAAACGUUCAAAUUGCCACAUUUUUAUAAGUUUAGUACAUUUUAAAACUAUCUUUUAAAAAAUAUGAUAUAUUUUGUUCUAGUUAUAGAAACUAGAUUUUAAAAUUAUAAUAUAGUAGUGUAAAACAUUCUAAAAAUAAAAAUCGGCAACUAAAACUGGGGGAAGCUAGUAAUCCGUUUACUAUAACUUUUAGUUUUUUUAAUAAAAGAUAGUUUUAUUAGAUCUAAUUCAAAUUGUCUCGGUGGCUAGCAGCUAAACUUUCAGGGUUAUAGCUUUUACUGAACCUUCGUGCCUCCCGAGGCACGAAGGUCUUCGUAUGGUUGGCAUUAGAGAGAGAGAGAGAGAGAGAGAGAGAGAGAGAGAGAGAGAGAGAGAUAUAUAUAUAUAUAUAUAUAUAUAUAUAUAUAUCUCUCUCUCUCUCUCUCUCUCCCCCCUUUCUCUCUCGCGUUCCGACGACACGAGAAUCUUCGUGUCUUCUGAGGCGGGAAGCACGAGGACUCGGUAAAAGUUACUACUUUAAAAGCUUAAUUGCUAGCCGAGGCAAUUUAAACUAGAUCGCAUAAACUUCAAACCCUAUUAACGGAUAUAUGGGCAGUAUACAAACUUUUAUAGGUUAAAUGGGGAUAAAAAAAAAAGAAAGAUUUUAUGGGGAAUAUACAAGGUGGCAAUCACGUUUUAUGAGGGCGUCAAUAGAGGACAAUUCAAUUGAACCCAAUUUGCACUCAAUUUGUAGAUGGCGUCAAUUUUUUUUAAUUUUACGGUUAAAACGGGAAUUGAAUUCCCGUUUAUUCUUUACAACCACUGUCAUCUCCCCAUAUAUAACCUUUUCUGGUUUUCAAUUUCAUUAAAAACAUGGGGACCGAAAUUCCCGAUUAUUCUUUCAGUCACUACCACCUUCCCAUAUAAACUUUCCCGUUUUAUCAUUAAAAUGUCUCAAUUAUCUCAAUUAAUUGUUUAAAAUUAUAUAAUCUUUAUCCAACCUUGCAUUUCUCCCAUAAAAGUUAUAAUCGUAAGAUUCUCCCCAUUUAACCUUUCAGCCUUUGAAAAGUGCCCAUAUAUUCGUUAACGGGGAAUUUCAAAGAUCUUUUAUUAAAAACACUAAAAAGCUAUAAUAAAUGGAUCACUAGUUUUCCCAAGUUUUAGUUAUCAAAAAUUAUUAACUACAGACGGCAAAGUUCAAAUUGCCCCAUCUUCAUAAAUUUAGUCUAUUUUAAAACUAUGUUUUAAGAAAUAUAAUAGAUGUUGUCGUAGUUAUUGAAACUAGCUUUUAAAAUUACAAUAUAGUGUUGAAAAAUAUCUUAAAAAUAAAAAUCGGCAACUACAAUUUAGGAAGACUAACGAUUCAUUUAUUAUAGUUUUUUGACAUUUUUAAUAAAAGAUCUUUGAAGNGCUAGUUUAACGGUGUAAAAGAAUCGAAAUUUGUUGAAUUUUUGAUAGAAAAUUCUAUUCACUACAUAGAUAAAGAUCAAUAACUCCGAUCUUGAAUUGAAGAAUCCGAUUAUCCUUUUUUAGGACGUCGUUCGAUUUUGACCAUUCAUUUUAUGCCCACUUGAUGGAUUUAAUUAUGAUUUCGAAAAUUUACGAAAUUUAUUUUCUAGAAGUUUCAAAUACUCUAGAUCAUAUUUAACGGAGUGGAUUGUCGAUUCGGAAGCUCCAUCAUUAAAAAUAACUUAUGAGUACGAUGGCUCCAAUACUCAUAAUAGUAUAGUAGCCAUGGCCUAUAUAUAUAUAUAUAUCACACACACACACACACACACACACACACACACACACACACACACACACACACACGAAGGUUGCAAAUACAACUUAUAUAUAUCACACACACACACACGAAGGUUGCAAAUACAACUUAUCUAAUGUGACAACAUGCCAUGGGGACUUUUGAGAGAAGUCCCAACUCAACACGGCAUGAGCUAUAGUCUUACCUAUAAAUGCAAAAAACUAACAUGAUAGAUAUAUGGCGCAGUAAAGAAAAAAGUUAAAAUAUUUUGAACAUAAGUAUACCAAGUUGGAGACUCUCAGACACAAACCUGUUAAUUAAUUGAGAAAAAUAACAUGACUGUCGAAGAUGAAUGCUGCAAAUAUGUUUGUUUUUGCACCAAGUAAUCACUCAAUUGAUCUGCCAAGGAUUAGAAAUUAUGAACCCACAAAUGACUUCUUAUAAGAGCUUCUUUAUUCAUGUGAAAACUUUUGACUACUGCAAGGUAUAAUCAAACACCAAUCUUACAAUUAUUGACAAGAAAUGUUCAACAAACAAUUAAUUAAAUUCUAUGAAUAUAUCAUUGCUUUUACAAGUUAUAAAUCAUUUCCUGUUAUUACUAUCUUAAGUUGUCAUAUCUAAUUAAUGGAUCUACUGCUUCUGAGUUUGAUGAAGUUGUAAUUUAUGUCUGAUGAUUAAAAUUGCAUCUGCGCGCACGUGAGAUGAAAAAAAAUUUAUCGGUUUGCUUAAUUUUAGCAUCAUUAGUUAUUGUUAUUAUUGUUUGUAUUUUAAAAAAAGCAACAAUUUGCUUUAUCUUCAUGAUCUAUGUUCACGUGCACUAAACAAGUUCAAAAUAUUUGAUCAGCGAUAACCUAUUAUUUAAUUACUCUAAAAAAAGCUCAAAACCACUAAUAUAAUACUAAUUAUGCCUGCUAACACUUAAGUCGACAGUCAAUUUAUUAGACCAAAUGUUAAUCAACUCUCCACUCGCUUUUAGCGCUUCGAGCUACAAAAAGGCGAUAAGUUCAAAUGAGAAUAUUCAUGUUUUAAUCGAUUGACUAAUUAUAACAAAAUAGAUCCUUCACUAUUGAUGAUAUGUGCUAUUAAUAAUAUUCCAGCCUAGUUAUAUAUAUAUAUAGAGCAGGGCUGCUGUGCUCUCAGGAGCACGGAGGAGCACGUCCGUGCUCCUGAGCCGUUUUCGAUGAUGGAGUUUUCGAAUCGACGAUCGGCUCCGUUAAACUUGAUCUAGUAUAUUUGAAGUUUCUAGAAAUAAUUUUUGCGAUUUUUCGUUAUCAUUUACCUAGCAAUCGAAAUGAUUCAAAAUCAAUAAUUUUUAACAGCUUAAAAUAAAAAUUCUAUAAAAAGUGGUGAUAUAGCACUAAAAUUUUCGAUCAAAAUUAUUGAUCUUGUUAUAAAUAGUAUAAAGAAUUUUGUAUCAAAAUUUCAUCUGAUUUGAAUACUUCUACACCGUUAAACUUGAAAACGGCAGAUAUCAACCAUUAAAAAUUAUGGAUUUUGAAUCCUUUCGAUCACUAGGUAAAUGAUAUCGAAAAAUCGCAAAAAUUAUUUUCUAGAAACUUCAAAUGCGCUAGAUCAAGUCUAACGGAGCCGAUCGUCGAUUCGAAAAUUCCAUCAUCGAAAACAACUCAGGAGCACGGAGGCCUCCGUGCUCCUGAGAGCAC